Molecule: long non-coding RNA, 1364 nt
Filed under: Oryzias javanicus (javanese ricefish)
Lineage: Eukaryota; Metazoa; Chordata; Actinopteri; Beloniformes; Adrianichthyidae
Description: lncRNA (ENSOJAG00000020926.1)
Source: RNAcentral
UAUUAAUUAAAAAUGAAGAAAAAGCUACCACUCCUUAAGCUCUUACGUCACAGGUGGCACACCUAACCGCAGUCACAGGUGGACUUUAUUAUGCAUCUAAACAGGUGUGGGCGGGGCUUCGCUUCAGUCGCCGUAUUUCCGCAGGUGCCGUGAGGAGCGAGACGCCUAAACAAAACAAACCAAAAUAAAAUAAAGUCGACAGAAGCUUAAAAGAAGAAAAAGAAACGAUGCGGUUCGUGUUCUCACUUUGGUUCAUCGUUCUUGCGGGUUUGGUUUCUCCCGUCGCCGCUUCCUCGUCUCCUGGCCUUUCAGAGGAUUCCGAAGGAUCUGGAAUUGAUGUGGAGAGUUCCGGGUCAGGAGAUUGGUCAGAUCCGGUUUCUCCUGUUGAAAACAUAGAUGAGGAGCCAGAAGAGGAUGCUCCAGGAAAGGCGCCGAUGGAUUCUGAGGAGGUGAAGCCGCCGGCGGAUAUUCAGAAGGGUACUUCUACCAAAAUGUCCACAUCUGGGUUUGUGUUUUUGGAAAACGGCAGACAUUAUCUGGAAAAAGAAGAAGUCCUGGCUGGCAUGAUUGCAGGAGUUUUAAUGGGAGCAGCGAUUGGAGCUGCGAUAGCAGGAAUAUUGAUCCACAAGUGGAAGAAAAGGGAGGACGAAGGGGGGCUUCUCGGCAAACGAGAUUUCACAUGAAAAGAUAUUACUAUAAUUUUGCCAUCAAAUGCUGCUUAACUUUUUUGUUUGUUUUUGGGGAGCUGCUGUAUAUUUUCCCCCUUUUUUCUAGAGCCAAUAUGUAAUGAAGCGUUUUGGACAAUUUUCCUCACAUUAAUAACUGACAGUACUUUGUUUUACAUGAUGUAAUGGAUGUAUAAUUUUAAAGAUAUCAGUGUAUUUUUUUUUUCCUUUUAAAAUGGGAAUUUGUUCAUCAAUAUGUGAUGUUUGAGGGGUGAUUAGAUAAAGAGAUUCAUUAUAUUUUUCUAUUUAUUUAUUUGAUGGCUUCUCCUACCUUAACUUCUGAGCAUUUUAUGUAGCAUUGAAAAUAAUUCCAAGUGAUUAAAAAAAAAACGAUAUAUGCCCUUAAAUCUAUUUAAUCCUACUUUUCAAUGCUUACUUUUUUUCCUGCAAUCAAAUUGAAACAUGAACUGGAUUUAUUCAUAUUUGUGUAAAUGUUGAGUUGUUUUGAAGGAAAAUCAGAAAAAAUUUAAGUCUAGAACUUUUAUUUUGGUAAAUAUACAUGUAUAAAGUAUAUCAAGAGACCACAUUAAACCACAAAUAUCUCAUAUUUUUUAUAUCUUCUGUAAAUAAAGUCUCUCGUGAACACAACUUUGAGCAUUGUGAUGCAUUUUAUAAGCAACUUUUCCCUAUGUUUACAAU